This is a long non-coding RNA of Homo sapiens (human), 2992 nucleotides long. Ensembl annotates it as glycosaminoglycan regulatory associated long non-coding RNA. Its record names the gene GRASLND. The record is from Ensembl. NCBI's taxonomy places the organism in Eukaryota, Metazoa, Chordata, Mammalia, Primates, Hominidae.
GCGAUCUCCGCUCACUGCAAGCUCCGCCUUCCGGGUUCACGCCAUUCUCCUGCCUCAGCCUCCCGAGUAGCUGGGACUACAGGCGCCCGCCACUGCGCCCGGCUAAUUUUUUGUAUUUUUAGUAGAGAGGGGGUUUCACCGUGGUCUCGAUCUCCUGACCUCGUGAUCCGCCCGCCUCAGCCUCCCAAAGUGCUGGGAUUACAGGCGUGAGCCACCGCGCCCGGCCAGUUCAAUGGAUUUUAAAAAUUAUUAUUCUCUAGAAAAAAGACCACGAACUUUGGAGUGGACAUCCUGAGACCUGCCUACGAAGACCAUUAGGUGGCCUCCAGAAGACACUCCCCUGAUUCCUACACCGAGGGAACACACAGCAGCAAGCUAGGAAAGAAGGGGUGACCCAGCCCAACGCUGUAAACCAGGGCGCGAACCGGCGUUGAGCUGUGCAGCUGCGCCCUGGGCUCCAGUCCUGCUCUGCCGCAGACCCCACCGGAGCCAGCACCUGCCUCCCCGACCCUCGCUGGGGCGGCUGUGAGAUGAGCCCAGAGCCUUCCUGAGCCAACCCUCGCAAGGAAAGUCUGUCUGUUCACCCCACUAUCCUUGUCUUGAAGGAUGAAGAAAAGAGGGCCCCCCGGGAGGUCCCAAAAGGUGGAAUGGACAUCUGGGAUCCAAGCACAGCAAUUUCUUUAUUUUUCUUAAGGUAUCCAGCUUGUUGGAAUCUAAGAUCUGCGAAGGUAUUAAUAGAAUUCCUGCAUCUUCUGCCACUCCCCAUAGAAGCUUGAAGUUACACAAAUGUUAAAUUAUACGUCAGAUGUGCAUAUAUGAACAAAACCUACGAGUGUGCAUGAAAUAACACCUUCUUAAAUAUAUAGAUUCUUUUUUCUGCAAUAUUAAAUGGAAACCCCACUAGAACAUCGUUUUUCCUUAAUAGCAUACCCUCCACACUGUGUGGUCUAAAUUCAAGCUCUACCACCUACUAGCCAUUAAGCAAGUUAUUAAGGUCUUCGUGCUUCCAUUUUCUUACGUGGAAAAUGAGGUGGCAAUAGUAUGUAUGAGUUCUUCGGAGGGAUUAAACAAGUCAAAUAGGCCAAGUGCCAUGGCUUACACCUGUAAGCCCAGCACUUUGGGAGGCCAAGGCAGGAGGACUGCUUGAGCCCAGGAGGUCAAGGCUGAAGUGAGCUGUGUUUGCAUCACUGCACUCCAGCCUGGGCAGCAGAGUGAGACUUUGUCUCUCAAUAAAUAAAGAAAUAGUCAAAUUAAAUAUAACUGGCAAACUAAAACAACUCCAUAGUCCUUAGCUACAAUUUGUCUCAUUUCUCCAAAGAAUUAAAUCAGAUGAUUCUUAACUAACUCAAAGCUCUGCAUAAUUUGUCUUCUGCUACACAUACAUCUUUAUAGUAAAAUAAAAUAAAGCUGUCCCCUCUGUAUUGAGAAGUUAUUCUGGUAAAUAUUUGACCUCUUCAAAUAUAUGAACGAGCACUUGCCUUCUAAUGCCUCAGUUUCAGAUUCUUUUUAGAAAUGUCAUUAUUCAAGAAAAAUGCACAAUGGGAAGAAUCUUAACAACAGCACUUUGUUACUUCAGCCUCUCACUAGAGGAUGAAAAUCGUUCUGCAUAAAGGCCUGGGCUUUAUGAAAAAUAUAUUCACACCUCCCGUGUCCGAGCUGGGAUACCAAAGAAGUUCCUGGUUGAGUACUACUUAUGAAUGAAGGAUUCAGGGGAUGCACAGGUGGGUGACUGCAAAUGCACAGACGUUGUGCUGUGUUCCCCACAAUAAAGGGGUCUGUAUUAAGAUGCAGGCAUUCUCAUGGAACACAGACGUAUAACACUCAAGCUGGGGGACUGCAAAGGAGCAUCUGGGGCUGCAGGAAGAGAGUUAAGGUGCAAAAAUGCCCUGACCCAACUGAGACUUGUAAUUGCUCAUGUGGUAAUACAUGUGACUUCAUUCCCCUGCUCUGUCUUUGUGAAUGCAACCAUUGUUGGGGAGAUAGUGAGAGGGGACACUGGCAUUGAAAGUUUUGUUUGCAGCAGGCCUCAAAAGGCACUCAGAUGCAGAUUUCCCUGCAAAGACUUCCCGGCCUAUCAUGGAGUUCCCCAUCCCUAGAUCUCUGAUCUCUGAGCUGGUGUAAUACUUAGUCUUUGUCUGUGUUGAUCAUGGCAUCUGCCACACUUAAUGUUUGUGGCAUUCACUUUCUGAUGCUUAGAUCUUACGAUUCUAGAGAACAGCAUUUUUCUACAUAUUCCCUCUUAGGGCCUUGAACAUAAUAAGUGCUCAAUAAAUACUGAGUGAAAUCCUCUACUCUGAGCUUUGCCUCUGAGCAGCUGUCCUAGUUCUCUCCAACAAGAAGUUUGUUGGGUCUCUCAAGUUCACUUCCACCUGUCACUGUCAGUUUUCAGUCCAGCCCCUUACUCAGGUCUGGCUGGCCCAUCUCCCCCAGAGGGCUGUCCCAUAGAGCCCAUUGUAAAGGACACUCAUUGUUGCCAAGAGUUUGUGCCAAUGCAGUAUGACUCACCCUUCACUCAUUGAACAAGCUCUUCCUGAUUACCUAGAUGGGCAAAAUUUCCCUGCUCAUGCGAAGCAGGCUGGCGACUCAGUGCUGCAGCAAAUGGCCCAGAAGCUGGGAAAGCAGAUAGCCGUUCUGACACUUCUCUUCUAGACAGAAAAUCAAGGGAAGCUCAAGACCCACACUUGAAUUUUUUUUAAAAAAUUAGACAAGGGGCUGGGUGUGGUGGCUCAUGCCUGUAAUCCCAGCACUUUGGGAGGCCGAGGCAGGCAGAUCACCUGAGGUUGGGAGUUCAAGACCAGCCUGACCAACAUGGAGAAACCCCUGUCUCUGUUAAAAAUACAAAAUUAGCCAGGCGUGGUGGCACAUGCCUAUAAUCCCAGCUACUCGGGAGGCUAAGGCAGGAGAAUCGCUUGAACCCCAGAGGCAGAGGUUGCGGUGAGCCGAGAUCGCACCACUGCACUGCAGCCUGGCAACAAGAGCGAAACUCAGUCUC